This 489-nucleotide ribosomal RNA is filed under the name uncultured Alphaproteobacteria bacterium. RNAcentral describes it as "bacterial SSU rRNA". It matches the Rfam family "Bacterial small subunit ribosomal RNA", at positions 38 to 573 of the family's 1533-position model. The record is from RNAcentral. Lineage: Bacteria; Pseudomonadati; Pseudomonadota; Alphaproteobacteria.
GGCGGCAUGCCUAACACAUGCAAGUCGAACGAAGGCUUCGGCCUUAGUGGCGCACGGGUGCGUAACGCGUGGGAAUCUGCCCCUCGGUUCGGAAUAACAGCGAGAAAUUGCCGCUAAUACCGGAUAAUGACGUAAGUCCAAAGAUUUAUCGCCGAGGGAUGAGCCCGCGUAGGAUUAGCUAGUUGGUGUGGUAAAAGCGCACCAAGGCGACGAUCCUUAGCUGGUCUGAGAGGAUGAUCAGCCACACUGGGACUGAGACACGGCCCAGACUCCUACGGGAGGCAGCAGUGGGGAAUAUUGGACAAUGGGCGAAAGCCUGAUCCAGCAAUGCCGCGUGAGUGAUGAAGGCCUUAGGGUUGUAAAGCUCUUUUACCCGGGAUGAUGAUGACAGUACCGGGAGAAUAAGCUCCGGCUAACUCCGUGCCAGCAGCCGCGGUAAUACGGAGGGAGCUAGCGUUAUUCGGAAUUACUGGGCGUAAAGCGCACGUA